RNAcentral lists this ribosomal RNA (251 nucleotides) under uncultured bacterium. Its description in RNAcentral is "partial 16S ribosomal RNA". It matches the Rfam family "Bacterial small subunit ribosomal RNA", at positions 524 to 776 of the family's 1533-position model. The record is from RNAcentral.
UACGUAGGUCCCGAGCGUUGUCCGGAUUUAUUGGGCGUAAAGCGAGCGCAGGUGGUUUAUUAAGUCUGGUGUAAAAGGCAGGGCUCAACCAUUGUAUGCAUUGGAAACUGGUAGACUUGAGUGCAGGAGAGGAGAGUGGAAUUCCAUGUGUAGCGGUGAAAUGCGUAGAUAUAUGGAGGAACACCGGUGGCGAAAGCGGCUCUCUGGCCUGUAACUGACACUGAGGCACGAAAGCGUGGGGAGCAAACAGG